Molecule: long non-coding RNA, 1440 nt
Filed under: Piliocolobus tephrosceles (Ugandan red Colobus)
Lineage: Eukaryota; Metazoa; Chordata; Mammalia; Primates; Cercopithecidae
Description: lncRNA (ENSPTEG00000002060.1)
Source: RNAcentral
UAGAGAUGAGGUUUCACCAUAAUGGCCAGGCUGGUCUUGAACUCCUGGCCUCAGGUGAUCCACCCACCUCAGGCUCCCAAAGUGUUUGUUGGGAUUACAGGCGUGAGCCACCAUGCCUGGCCUGACCUAGUUUUUCAGGUUAACUUUGGAAUAGCCUUGGCUGAAGGGAGAGUCCAUCAGUCAGUUGGGGGGCUUAGACUUCUAUUGUUGGUUUGCAUUGUAAACAGUCCUGUGGUAUCACAAUGAUUAGCUAUGUCUUACACUUUGGGAUCACGUCGUAACCACGGCCUCAAGUAACUGUGGUCUCUUCUUAUGACUUCCUGGCAAGAGGUGGCUCAUGCAGAAAGGAAGAAGUGCAUUGAACUAGCGGAUGCUGCUUUGUUUUCUUGGUCCUGAAACUUUCCAUUUUCUGUAAAGGUAAGAUUCUUAAUGCCAUCGAAGACAAUGGUUUAAAGAACUCAACAUUCACGUAUUUCACCUCUGACCAUGGAGGACAUUUAGAGGCAAGAGAUGGACACAGCCAGUUAGGGGGAUGGAACGGAAUUUACAAAGGUGGGAAGGGCAUGGGAGGAUGGGAAGGUGGGAUCCGCGUGCCCGGGAUCUUCCACUGGCCCGGGGUGCUCCCGGCCGGCCGAGUGAUCGGAGAGCCCACGAGCCUGAUGGAUGUGUUCCCUACUGUGGUUCAGCUGGCAGGUGGCGAGGUGCCCCAGGACAGGUAUGUGGAGAUAAGGCCGCCUGUUCCUUGAUUUUUUUAAGUUGUUUUUAGUUUUUAAUUUUUUUAUGUCAAUAGGAUUUUGGGGGACAGGUGGCGUUUGGUUACAUAAAUAAGCUUUGUUUUUUGUUUUUUGUUUUUUCUGAGACAGAGUCUCACACUCUUGCCCAGGCUGGAGUGCAAUGGCACGAUCUCGGCUCACUGCAACCUCCGCCUCCCAGAUUCAAGUGAUUCUUCUGUCUCAGCCUCCCGAGUAGCUGGGAUGACAGGCAUGCACCACUGUCUCCUUUACCCAUGUGACCAUGUGUCUUGGGGUCUGUUAUGAUUAAAAAGUAAAAACAGGUCGGGUACAAUGGCUCAUGCUGAUAAUCCUAGCACUUUGGGAGGUUAGAUGGGCGGAUCACCUUAGGUCAGGAGUUCUAGACCAGCCUGGCCAAUGUGGUGAAACCCCAUCUCUACAAAAAAUACAAAAAUUAGCCGAGUGUGGUAGCUUGUGCCUGUAGUCCCAGCUACUCAGGAGGCUGAGGCAUGAGAAAUUGCUUGACCAGGAGGCAGAGGUUGCAAUGAGCUGAGAUUGUGCCACUGUACUGCAGCCUGGGCGACGGAGCAAGACUGCCUCAUAAAAAAAAAGUAAGAAAAAUCAACUUAGGAAUGUGGGCUGUCCAGCUGAAUUUGAAGGCUUUGUGUUAACAUCCAAGGUGACAGUGCUGUGUGUAGGGGUGUGUGUG